AACGAACGCUGGCGGCAGGCUUAACACAUGCAAGUCGAACGCGUGUAGCAAUACACGAGUGGCGCACGGGUGAGUAACGCGUGGAUACCUGCCUUUUGGUUCGGAAUAACCCCGGGAAACUGGGGCGUAAUACCGGAUGGUUCCUUCGGGAUAAAGAUUUAUCGCCAAAAGAAUGAGUCCGCGUCCGAUUAGCUAGUUGGUGAGGUAAUGGCUCACCAAGGCGACGAUCGGUAGCUGGUCNGAGAGGACGAUCAGCCACACUGGGACUGAGACACGGCCCAGACUCCUACGGGA
This 294-nucleotide ribosomal RNA is filed under the name uncultured bacterium. Its description in RNAcentral is "partial 16S ribosomal RNA". It matches the Rfam family "Bacterial small subunit ribosomal RNA", at positions 29 to 346 of the family's 1533-position model. The record is from RNAcentral.